Molecule: non-coding RNA, 186 nt
Filed under: SAR324 cluster bacterium
Lineage: Bacteria; Deltaproteobacteria
Description: 6S RNA
Rfam family: 6S / SsrS RNA
About the family: E. coli 6S RNA was the first non coding RNA to be sequenced, but its function was unknown until recently. It consists of 184 nucleotides that fold into an extended hairpin structure with a large single-stranded internal bulge.
Source: RNAcentral
CUAUUUCUGCUCUGUUCGAGAUGGGCUUUUAUGAUUUGAUCCUUAAUUUUAAUGAAUCGGGAGCGACCGCUUGUUUAUGGUGUGCAAGCUCACCUUAGAGUGAGAAGCCUAAAGUAUGUAAAGUUGCACCCACCUACUUAAGUAGGAUAUCAGAUUCACUAAGCCCACCCGGCAGAGCAGAUUCCC